RNAcentral lists this ribosomal RNA (253 nucleotides) under uncultured bacterium. Its description in RNAcentral is "partial 16S ribosomal RNA". It matches the Rfam family "Bacterial small subunit ribosomal RNA", at positions 524 to 776 of the family's 1533-position model. The record is from RNAcentral.
UACGGGGGGAGCAAGCGUUGUUCGGAUUUAUUGGGCGUAAAGGGCGCGUAGGCGGCCUGGCAAGUGGAAGGUGAAAUCCCUCGGCUCAACCGAGGAACUGCCUUCCAAACUGCUUGGCUUGAGUCCGGGAGAGGUGAGUGGAAUUCCCAGUGUAGCGGUGAAAUGCGUAGAUAUUGGGAAGAACACCGGUGGCGAAGGCGGCUCACUGGCUCGUUUCUGACGCUCAGGCGCGACAGCGUGGGGAUCAAACAGG